GAUGAACGCUGGCGGCGUGCCUAACACAUGCAAGUCGAGCGAUGAUUUUCUCUUCGGAGAAAUGAUUAGCGGCGGACGGGUGAGUAACACGUGGGUAACCUGCCUCAUAGAGGGGAAUAGCCUUCCGAAAGGAAGAUUAAUACCGCAUAACAUUGUCGAGUGGCAUCACUUGAUAAUCAAAGGAGCAAUCCGCUAUGAGAUGGACCCGCGUCGCAUUAGUUAGUUGGUGGGGUAAUGGCCUACCAAGACGACGAUGCGUAGCCGACCUGAGAGGGUGAUCGGCCACAUUGGGACUGAGACACGGCCCAGACUCCUACGGGAGGCAGCAGUGGGGAAUAUUGCACAAUGGAGGAAACGCUGAUGCAGCAACGCCGCGUGAGUGAUGAAGGUUUUCGGAUCGUAAAACUCUGUCUUUGGGGAUGAUAAUGACAGUACCCAAGGAGGGAGCCACGGCUAACUACGUGCCAGCCGCCGCGGUAACAC
This 483-nucleotide ribosomal RNA is filed under the name uncultured bacterium. RNAcentral describes it as "bacterial SSU rRNA". It matches the Rfam family "Bacterial small subunit ribosomal RNA", at positions 28 to 526 of the family's 1533-position model. The record is from RNAcentral.